AGGAGAAGCCCGGAGCCCCCCACCCUCGCGGCGGUCACGCUCCCUCCCGCUCCCGCCAGGCCCGCGCGGCCCUUCACCUUGAUCCGCACGUAGCAGUGGGUGCCCAAGGAGGGGUCGCUCAGGCACGCGGGAGGGUGCUCCCGGGCGGGCCGCCGGAAGGUCUGCGCCGGCCCCUUGCCGAGGCUCCACAAAAGUUUGAGCAGGUGGAUGGAGGCGCAGAGCCCGCAGUAGCAGUAGACCAGGGACCAGAAGAGCAGGGACCGGAGCGUGAGCAUCAGGCGGGGCAGGCAAUCCCGCAGCCUCGCCAUUGGGAGGCGGCGGCGGGGCCCACUGCCCUUCCUCGGGAGCGGGUGAGCGAG
RNAcentral lists this long non-coding RNA (359 nucleotides) under Homo sapiens (human). RNAcentral's name for it is "non-protein coding lnc-SETSIP-2:12". Lineage: Eukaryota; Metazoa; Chordata; Mammalia; Primates; Hominidae. The record is from RNAcentral.